RNAcentral lists this non-coding RNA (144 nucleotides) under human gut metagenome. RNAcentral describes it as "glmS glucosamine-6-phosphate activated ribozyme". It matches the Rfam family "glmS glucosamine-6-phosphate activated ribozyme aptamer". From Rfam's summary of the family: This entry contains a glucosamine-6-phosphate activated ribozyme that is found in the mRNA for GlmS. GlmS is an enzyme that uses fructose-6-phosphate and glutamine to generate glucosamine-6-phosphate. The record is from RNAcentral.
UUUUAUUUAAGCGCCUGGACACAUAGUAUUUGUGUUGACGAGGAAGAAACUUAUCGAAAGAUUCGGCGGAUGGUUUCUUGGCAAUGGUUACUGCCACAAAUAUUAGAAAAGCCUGAUAGUGAUAUCAGUAUACAAAUCUAAUAG